Molecule: ribosomal RNA, 502 nt
Filed under: uncultured bacterium
Lineage: Bacteria
Description: partial 16S ribosomal RNA
Rfam family: Bacterial small subunit ribosomal RNA
Source: RNAcentral
AUUGAACGCUGGCGGCAUGCCUUACACAUGCAAGUCGAACGGCAGCACGGGUGCUUGCACCUGGUGGCGAGUGGCGAACGGGUGAGUAAUACAUCGGAACAUGUCCUGUCGUGGGGGAUAGCCCGGCGAAAGCCGGAUUAAUACCGCAUACGAUCUACGGAUGAAAGCGGGGGACCUUCGGGCCUCGCGCUAUAGGGUUGGCCGAUGGCUGAUUAGCUAGUUGGUGGGGUAAAGGCCUACCAAGGCGACGAUCAGUAGCUGGUCUGAGAGGACGACCAGCACCACUGGGACUGAGACACGGCCCAGACUCCUACGGGAGGCAGCAGUGGGGAAUUUUGGACAAUGGGCGAAAGCCUGAUCCAGCAAUGCCGCGUGUGUGAAGAAGGCCUUCGGGUUGUAAAGCACUUUUGUCCGGAAAGAAAUCCUUGGCUCUAAUACAGUCGGGGGAUGACGGUACCGGAAGAAUAAGCACCGGCUAACUACGUGCCAGCCGCCGCCGUAA